This 1101-nucleotide ribosomal RNA is filed under the name uncultured bacterium. RNAcentral's name for it is "bacterial SSU rRNA". It matches the Rfam family "Bacterial small subunit ribosomal RNA", at positions 338 to 1437 of the family's 1533-position model. The record is from RNAcentral.
CCUACGGGGGGCGGCAGUGGGGAAUUUUGGACAAUGGGCGCAAGCCUGAUCCAGCAAUGCCGCGUGAGUGAAGAAGGCCUUCGGGUUGUAAAGCUCUUUUGUCAGGGAAGAAACGGUGCGGGCUAAUAUCCCGCGCUAAUGACGGUACCCGAAGAAUAAGCACCGGCUAACUACGUGCCAGCAGCCGCGGUAAUACGUAGGGUGCAAGCGUUAAUCGGAAUUACUGGGCGUAAAGCGUGCGCAGGCGGUUUUGUAAGUCUGAUGUGAAAUCCCCGGGCUCAACCUGGGAAUUGCAUUGGAGACUGCAAGGCUAGAAUCUGGCAGAGGGGGGUAGAAUUCCACGUGUAGCAGUGAAAUGCGUAGAGAUGUGGAGGAACACCGAUGGCGAAGGCAGCCCCCUGGGUCAAGAUUGACGCUCAUGCACGAAAGCGUGGGGAGCAAACAGGAUUAGAUACCCUGGUAGUCCACGCCCUAAACGAUGUCUACUAGUUGUCGGGUUUUAAUUAACUUGGUAACGCAGCUAACGCGUGAAGUAGACCGCCUGGGGAGUACGGUCGCAAGAUUAAAACUCAAAGGAAUUGACGGGGACCCGCACAAGCGGUGGAUGAUGUGGAUUAAUUCGAUGCAACGCGAAAAACCUUACCUACCCUUGACAUGGCAGGAAUCCCGGAGAGAUCUGGGAGUGCUCGAAAGAGAACCUGCACACAGGUGCUGCAUGGCUGUCGUCAGCUCGUGUCGUGAGAUGUUGGGUUAAGUCCCGCAACGAGCGCAACCCUUGUCAUUAGUUGCUACGAAAGAGCACUCUAAUGAGACUGCCGGUGACAAACCGGAGGAAGGUGGGGAUGACGUCAAGUCCUCAUGGCCCUUAUGGAUAGGGCUUCACACGUCAUACAAUGGUACAUACAGAGGGCCGCCAACCCGCGAGGGGGAGCUAAUCCCAGAAAGUGUAUCGUAGUCCGGAUUGUAGUCUGCAACUCGACUACAUGAAGUUGGAAUCGCUAGUAAUCGCGGAUCAGCAUGUCGCGGUGAAUACGUUCCCGGGUCUUGUACACACCGCCCGUCACACCAUGGGAGCGGGUUUUACCAGAAGUAGGUAGCUUA